GGAAAUUGGCAGUUGAUUGAAAAAUACUUAAAAUAGAUAUGUUUUUAAAAAAUUUUUAAUAAAAGUUUUAUAGAAUAUUUUAGGAGCUGUAAAAUGAGCAAUGAAAACCCUCUUAUAUUAAGACUUGAGCUGCAAGGCAAGAGCAAUAGCCCUCUGUUUAGAGACCUACGAUAUUUGUAUUUAAAUAGGCGCCUAUUAGCAUGGCACGUUGAUCACCAACUUGAAGACAUUGUCCAGAUUUUCAGUGAAGAAAACUGGAAGACGAUAAGCUUUACUUGAACAGCUCUGUUUGAAGAUAUGGUUCGAGAAAGAAAAGAACAAAAAGAAUACACAAACUACUACUAAAUAACAAAAUUAAUUACCAGUAAGACAGAGUGGUAUAUUUUGGAAAGAAAUGGAUAUAAAAACAGCUUGCAAUAUUCUUUAUUUUACAUAAAAAGUCAGGGUAGUGAUCCACUGUUUAGAAAGACACAUUUUAAUUUUAGAUUUAAAAUUGCCAUUCCAAGAGAAAUACUAAAUUAUUGAAGCUUUCCAGCAGGAAUGGGCCUUCCUUCAUGAAUAUACAUACUAAAAUAGGCCAUAUUAUACUUGAAUUAUACAGGGCGAGUUAGUUUUGGACUUGAAAUUUGUUUAAAAUGU
RNAcentral lists this long non-coding RNA (639 nucleotides) under Sitophilus oryzae (rice weevil). RNAcentral's name for it is "uncharacterized LOC115882586, transcript variant X1". Lineage: Eukaryota; Metazoa; Arthropoda; Insecta; Coleoptera; Curculionidae. The record is from RNAcentral.